Long non-coding RNA from Etheostoma cragini (Arkansas darter), 98 nucleotides. RefSeq lists it as uncharacterized. The record is from RefSeq and is a predicted model, not a curated record. The transcript has 3 exons. Lineage: Eukaryota; Metazoa; Chordata; Actinopteri; Perciformes; Percidae.
AGACAGUCUUAAGCCCCUGACACACUAACCCGAUGGCUGACCAUUGGCAGAAAAGGCAGUCGGAUUGACGGCCUCCCUGAGUUGGCCAAAAAAAGUGC